AAACUACACUUUGCUUACAUGUCACCUCACAAAUGUCCCUUUUCUAACUUAUUUUCUUUAAGCAUUCACCAUGUGGCUCUCUCUUUUCUUUUUCUCCUUUUUUUCAUCUAUUUACUAAAUAUUUACAUAUAUUCAUUCUUAUAUUUAUUAUGUAACUUGCCAAUUGAGCUUUGUAGUAACUGUCAAUUUCCUCAUGUAUUUGUCUUAAUUCUCCACUUAAGUUGAACAUAAAUCAACAUUUACUACCUUUUUCUUUGGAAAGUUACUCAUUAACGGUUUUGUUAUGAAAAUUGUAAAGAUCACUUUUUAUUCUUAUUCAUUCAUGACUUUUCAUUUGCAUAUUUGGUUUUAAUAAGUGUAUCCUUUUAAAACUCUUAGCCUUUCAAUUCAAUAAUAAUAAUAAUAAUUAAAAACUGUUACGUUAAUUAUUAAUUAUAUUAUAUAUAGGUCUUAUAUAUGUACAACCCCUUGGUGCACAUGUGAGUUUGAGAUUUCAAUCUGAGUGGAUUCUAUCUAUUGCACAUGAAGAAGUCUUACCAUUCUUUGUCACGAUAGGUAAGCAAGCACAAAUAAAGUCCUUCAUAUUGUCAGAUUUCUGUUUCUUGGGUUUUGGAAAAAGGAGAGUUUGAUUGAAACAACAUUUCUUAUGUGAAAAGGAUUGAAAGAAAUAUGAAUGAGAUUGGAGUUGAAGACAAUGGUACUGAUUUAGAGAAUGUUCAAAAUGUCGAUGUUCAUUAUUGGAAGUAUAAUGUUACUACUUCUAUUUUGGAUGGAAACAAUGUUUUGGUUAGUGGCAUUUACGAAGCAUUUUUUGUUCUUUUCAUGUUGUUAAGUUGUUGUUGAUUAAUUAUAAUUUGUAUGAUUUCUUGACAAAUCUAUUGUAGCAUUUUCCUCGACGUGUAGCUGAGAAUGGUUUGUAUAUCAAUCAAUCUAAAAUUCUCCUUUUUGAUGAAGAAACCGAUAAAUCUUAUGACUGUGAUGUUCACACUACGUCAAAAAGCAUGCAUCAGAAAUACAUAGGGAGAGGAUGGUACGACUUUGUUCUUGAAAAGGGCCUAAAAGUUGGUGACGUUAUUUUGUUGACAGUCAAUAAUCCUCCUAAUAGGAUGUAUGCUGCCGUCGUUAACUGGGAGUGAUUCUAUAACCGAAUGUUGUGGCUCAAGGUUGUUUCUAUGAUUGUCUAUUUUUAAUGUAAUAUUCAAAUUGAGGAAGGU
This is an RNA transcript of Medicago truncatula (barrel medic), 1214 nucleotides long. RefSeq lists it as uncharacterized. Lineage: Eukaryota; Viridiplantae; Streptophyta; Magnoliopsida; Fabales; Fabaceae. The record is from RefSeq and is a predicted model, not a curated record. The transcript is spliced from 3 exons.